AUUCCUACGGGAGGCAGCAGUGGGGAAUAUUGGACAAUGGGCGCAAGCCUGAUCCAGCCAUGCCGCGUGUGUGAAGAAGGCCUUAUGGUUGUAAAGCACUUUAAGCGAGGAGGAGGCUACUUUAGAUAAUACCUAGAGAUAGUGGACGUUACUCGCAGAAUAAGCACCGGCUAACUCUGUGCCAGCAGCCGCGGUAAUACAGAGGGUGCAAGCGUUAAUCGGAUUUACUGGGCGUAAAGCGCGCGCAGGCGGUUUGUUAAGUCAGAUGUGAAAUCCCCGGGCUCAACCUGGGAACUGCAUCUGAUACUGGCAAGCUUGAGUCUCGUAGAGGGGGGUAGAAUUCCAGGUGUAGCGGUGAAAUGCGUAGAGAUCUGGAGGAAUACCGGUGGCGAAGGCGGCCCCCUGGACGAAGACUGACGCUCAGGUGCGAAAGCGUGGGGAGCAAACAGGAUUAGAUACCCUGGUAGUCCACGCCGUAAACGAUGAGUGCUAAGUGUUAGGGGGUUUCCGCCCCUUAGUGCUGCAGCUAACGCAUUAAGCACUCCGCCUGGGGAGUACGACCGCAAGGUUGAAACUCAAAGGAAUUGACGGAAU
RNAcentral lists this ribosomal RNA (594 nucleotides) under uncultured bacterium. RNAcentral describes it as "bacterial SSU rRNA". It matches the Rfam family "Bacterial small subunit ribosomal RNA", at positions 335 to 919 of the family's 1533-position model. The record is from RNAcentral.